GGCAAAAGAGAGCUUGAUUGCAAGACAUACAGGUCGAGCAAGGAUGAAAAUCGGACUUAGUGAUCCGGUGGUUCUGCGUGGAAGGGCCAUCGCUCAACGGAUAAAAGCUACCCUGGGGAUAACAGGCUUAUCUCCCCCAAGAGUCCACAUCGACGGGGAGGUUUGGCACCUCGAUGUCGGCUCAUCACAUCCUGGGGCUGUAGUAGGUCCCAAGGGUUGGGCUGUUCGCCCAUUAAAGUGGUACGCGAGCUGGGUUCAGAACGUCGGGAGACAGUUCGGUCCCUAUCCGUCGCAGGCGUAGGAAAUUUGAGAAGACCUGUCCUUAGUACGAGAGGACCGGGAUGGACGUACCUCUGGUGUACCAGUUGUUCUGCCAAGGGCAUGGCUGGGUAGC
Molecule: ribosomal RNA, 394 nt
Filed under: Clostridioides difficile
Lineage: Bacteria; Bacillati; Bacillota; Clostridia; Peptostreptococcales; Peptostreptococcaceae
Description: bacterial LSU rRNA
Rfam family: Bacterial large subunit ribosomal RNA
Source: RNAcentral